UACUCGGAUAACUGUGGCAAUUCUAGAGCUAAUACAUGCAAUAAAGCUCGGACCUUAUGGGACGAGCGCAUUUAUUAGACCAAAACCAAUCGGGCUUCGGCCUGAGCUUUGGUGACUCUGAAUAACUAAGUUGAUCGCACGGUCUUAGUACCGGCGACGCAUCUUUCAAGUGUCUGCCUUAUCAACUUUCGAUGGUAGUUUAUGUGCCUACCAUGGUUGUAACGGGUAACGGAGAAUAAGGGUUCGACUCCGGAGAGGGAGCCUGAGAAACGGCUACCACAUCCAAGGAAGGCAGCAGGCGCGCAAAUUACCCAAUCUCAGCACGAGGAGGUAGUGACGAAAAAUAAACGCUUCUAAUGGUCUUAGAGGCCCGCUAUCGGAAUGGGUACAAUUUAA
This 396-nucleotide ribosomal RNA is filed under the name Tardigrada environmental sample. RNAcentral's name for it is "bacterial SSU rRNA". It matches the Rfam family "Eukaryotic small subunit ribosomal RNA", at positions 136 to 528 of the family's 1831-position model. The record is from RNAcentral. Lineage: Eukaryota; Metazoa; Tardigrada.